GUCUCGUUGGUGUAGUGGUAUCAUGCCCUCUUUGGGUGACUUUCUUGUCAGCUAAGUGGGGGUGGGCCUGGGUUCGACCCCCAGACGGGACC
Molecule: non-coding RNA, 92 nt
Organism: Cryptococcus amylolentus CBS 6039
Lineage: Eukaryota; Fungi; Basidiomycota; Tremellomycetes; Tremellales; Cryptococcaceae
Source: the annotation of a RefSeq genome assembly